Molecule: long non-coding RNA, 932 nt
Filed under: Brassica rapa (field mustard)
Lineage: Eukaryota; Viridiplantae; Streptophyta; Magnoliopsida; Brassicales; Brassicaceae
Description: long non-coding RNA (BRAP_LNC006093)
Source: RNAcentral
CAGUUCUUCGAAUCAGGUGUGCCGAUGGGCUUGAUCGGUCCGGGAAAGGAGUCAUCCUUUAAUUUCGUAAGACCGGAGGAGAUCGAGGCUACGGCUUUGGCUUGCUUCGAGUGGGGAUCGCCGAUGGGCUUAAUCGGUCCGGGAAAGGUGUCAGCCUUUAAUUUCGUCAGACCGGAGGAGAACGACGCUUCGACUUUGGCUUGCUUCGAGUGGGGAUCGCCGAUGGGAUUGAUCGGUCCGGGAAAGGAGUCACCCUCAACGCGUUGUGGUUUCUCCGAGUUGGAUUUUCCGGUGAAACUCAUUGCAAUGUACGAAUGAAAAUUUACGACGAAGCUUAAUCGAAACGAAACUCCGUUCAAGAGUUUUAUAAACAAAAGAAGAGAAAAACGAAUCCAUAAAUGAGAGUAAAGGGAGAACGAAGUGGAGGAUGAAUCAAUUGCUCAUGAAUCAGAUCGUGAAAUGGAUCAAAGAAGAGGAAGAGGAAAGGGGAUGAGAAUCGUUCUGAUUUUGGUUUCGAAAAAACGUGAAAGAGUGCGAUUGUUUGUUAUAAUGGUUUCAUGGGCUUGAGCCCAAUCGUAACAAAUACACAAAAGAAAAACCGUGAGCCCAACAUAUUAGUGACAUGGCUAAACGCUUCAACGUGAUUGGUCGAUUUAAUUGUCCUACGUGGACAUGCUGUAUGGAGCUCAUAUAACCCUUUUAAUAUAGUAUAGACCGGAGGAGAUCGAGGCUACGGCUUUGGCUUGCUUCGAGUGGGGAUCGCCGAUGGGCUUAAUCGGUCCGGGAAAGGUGUCAGCCUUUAAUUUCGUCAGACCGGAGGAGAACGACGCUUCGACUUUGGCUUGCUUCGAGUGGGGAUCGCCGAUGGGAUUGAUCGGUCCGGGAAAGGAGUCACCCUCAACGCGUUGUGGUUUCUCCGAGUUGGAUUUUCC